UCAAAAACAUGUCUUUUUGAUUAUAAUAUAAAGUCUAACCUGCCCAAUGAUAAUUAUUGAAUGGCCGCAGUAUAUUGACUGUGCAAAGGUAGCAUAAUCAUUUGUCUCUUAAUUAGAGGCUGGAAUGAAUGGUUGAAUGAAAUAUUAACUGUCUCAUUUUUAAAAUUAUAAAAAUUUAGCUUUUAAGUUAAAAGGCUUAAAUAAAUUUAAAGGACGAGAAGACCCUAUAGAUCUUUAUAAUUAUAUUAAUUUUAUUAAAUAGAAAAAUAUAAAUUCAAAUUAAUUUAAUUAUUUUAUUGGGGUGAUAGGAAAAUUAAAUAAACUUUUUUUUAAAAAAAAACAUUGAUUUAUGAAAAAUUGAUCCAAUUUUAUUGAUUAUAAGAUUAAGUUACCUUAGGGAUAACAGCGUAAUUUUUUUAAAGAGUUCAUAUCGAUAAAAAAGAUUGCGACCUCGAUGUUGAAUUAAAGGUUAUUUCUAGAUGCAGAAGUUUAGAAUUUAGGUCUGUUCGACCUUUAAAUCUUUACAUGAUCUGA
RNAcentral lists this ribosomal RNA (534 nucleotides) under Glenochrysa splendida. Its description in RNAcentral is "partial large subunit ribosomal RNA". It matches the Rfam family "Bacterial large subunit ribosomal RNA", at positions 1807 to 2608 of the family's 2925-position model. Lineage: Eukaryota; Metazoa; Arthropoda; Insecta; Neuroptera; Chrysopidae. The record is from RNAcentral.